This 89-nucleotide transfer RNA is filed under the name Candidatus Bathyarchaeota archaeon. RNAcentral's name for it is "tRNA-Arg". The record is from RNAcentral. Lineage: Archaea; Thermoproteati; Candidatus Bathyarchaeota.
GGGCCCGUAGCUUAACCAGGUCAGAGCGGCGGGGCCGACCCGUUGGUUGGGGGUUCAAACGUGGCACGGAACAGAUCCCUCCGGGCCCA